GACUCUCGGCAACGGAUAUCUCGGCUCACGCAUCGAUGAAGAACGUAGCAAAAUGCGAUACUUGGUGUGAAUUGCAGAAUCCCGUGAACCAUCGAGUUUUUGAACGCAAGUUGCGCCCGAAGCCUUUUGGCCGAGGGCACGUCUGCCUGGGCGUCACGC
RNAcentral lists this ribosomal RNA (159 nucleotides) under Achillea millefolium. Its description in RNAcentral is "partial 5.8S ribosomal RNA". It matches the Rfam family "5.8S ribosomal RNA". Rfam says of the family: 5.8S ribosomal RNA (5.8S rRNA) is a component of the large subunit of the eukaryotic ribosome. It is transcribed by RNA polymerase I as part of the 45S precursor that also contains 18S and 28S rRNA. Functionally, it is thought that 5.8S rRNA may be involved in ribosome translocation. The record is from RNAcentral. RNAcentral also lists the same sequence under 1 other name. Lineage: Eukaryota; Viridiplantae; Streptophyta; Magnoliopsida; Asterales; Asteraceae.